This 835-nucleotide ribosomal RNA is filed under the name uncultured bacterium. RNAcentral's name for it is "bacterial SSU rRNA". It matches the Rfam family "Bacterial small subunit ribosomal RNA", at positions 21 to 871 of the family's 1533-position model. The record is from RNAcentral.
GGCUCAGGACGAACGCUGGCGGCGUGCUUAACACAUGCAAGUCGAACGGUGAAGCCCUUCGGGGUGGAUCAGUGGCGAACGGGCGAGUAACACGUGAGCAACCUGCCCCUGACUCUGGGAUAACUACCGGAAACGGUGGCUAAUACCGGAUACGACUACUGCAGGCAUCUGUGGUGGUGGAAAGUUUUUCGGUUGGGGAUGGGCUCGCGGCCUAUCAGCUUGUUGGUGGGGUGAUGGCCUACCAAGGCGACGACGGGUAGCCGGCCUGAGAGGGCGACCGGCCACACUGGGACUGAGACACGGCCCAGACUCUUACGGGAGGCAGCAGUGGGGAAUAUUGCGCAAUGGGCGAAAGCCUGACGCAGCGACGCCGCGUGGGGGAUGAAGGCCUUCGGGUUGUAAACCUCUUUCAGCAGGGAAGAAGCGCAAGUGACGGUACCUGCAGAAGAAGCACCGGCUAAAUACGUGCCAGCAGCCGCGGUAAUACGUAGGGUGCGAGCGUUCUCCGGAAUUAUUGGGCGUAAAGAGCUAGUAGGCGGUCCGUCGCGUGUGCUGUGAAAACUUGGGGCUUAACUCCGGGCCUGCAGUGGGUACGGGCAGAUUAGAAUGCGGUAGGGGAGACUGGAAUUCCUGGUGUAGCGGUGAAAUGCGCAGAUAUCAGGAGGAACACCGGUGGAGAAGGCGGGUCUCUGGGCCGUAACCUGACGAUGAGGAGCGAAAGCGUGGGGAGCGAACACGAUUAGAUUCCCUCGUAGUACACGCCGUAAACGUUGGGCGAUAGGUGUGGGGCUCUUUCCACGAGUUCCGUGCCGCAGCAAACGCAUUAAGCGCCCCG